AGUGAACGCUGGCGGUAGGCCUAACACAUGCAAGUCGAACGGCAGCACAGUAAGAGCUUGCUCUUACGGGUGGCGAGUGGCGGACGGGUGAGGAAUACAUCGGAAUCUACUUUUUCGUGGGGGAUAACGUAGGGAAACUUACGCUAAUACCGCAUACGACCUACGGGUGAAAGCAGGGGAUCUUCGGACUUUGCGCGAUUGAAUGAGCCGGUGUCGGAUUAGCUAGUUGGCGGGGUAACGGCCCACCAAGGCGACGAUCCGUAGCUGGUCUGAGAGGGUGAUCAGCCACACUGGGACUGAGACACGGUCCAGACUCCUACGGGAGGCAGCAGUGGGGAAUAUUGGGCAAUGGGCGCAAGCCUGAUCCAGCCAUACCGCGUGGGUGAAGAAGGCCUUCGGGUUGUAAAGCCCUUUUGUUGGGAAAGAAAAGCAGCAUGAUAAAACCACGCUGUUCUGACGGUACCCAAAGAAUAAGCACCGGCUAACUUCGUG
RNAcentral lists this ribosomal RNA (492 nucleotides) under uncultured bacterium. RNAcentral's name for it is "partial 16S ribosomal RNA". It matches the Rfam family "Bacterial small subunit ribosomal RNA", at positions 29 to 507 of the family's 1533-position model. The record is from RNAcentral.